UUAGAACGCUAAGUGUGCCAAAUGAACUAUUAUCAGUUCCUUUUUGCUAUACGCUAUUGUAUGACAAUGACAGAAUUAUGUUAAUACUGAAGAAAUCUUAAAAACCCAGCGUUUCUCAAGCAGGUUCUAAAGUUUUUCUGCUCAGUACAUGUAGUGAGUUGCACUGAAGGCAGCAACUUUGAGGCCUGUUGUUAGCGUUUUGGAACACUAAAAAUGCCGAAUUAGCUAUUCACAGUACACUUUUGCUAUGCACUAUUGGAUGUACUGGCAACUACCACUGAAUUACAUUGAUACUAAAGAAUUUGCUAAAACCUGAAGAUUUUCAGGCAAGUUUUGCAGCAUUCCAACCCUAGCUCAAAAAAGAUCUCGUAAUUAUGGCAUUCAUAAUUACGAGAUCCUAAUCUUGUAAUUAUAACAGCCUUUCUCAUAAUAAUGAGACUGAUCUCAUACGUUACCUAUACAAAUGAUUAUUCACUGUAGUACCCUUGUUUUGUUUACCACAGCCUUCUAGGCUAAAUUUGUCAUAAUGUUUCCUUUCUCUGGCAAAACUUCUUUUUUUCUGUUAUUGGAUUCAGGUUUCUUCAUGUUAAUUUGCAUCUUUUCCCUCCACUUUUCUUCUUAUUCAAGGUAAUAACUCGGAACGAGCUGAUGCUAGAGGAAACAAGAAACACAAUCACAGUCCCAGCCUCUUUCAUGCUCCGAAUGCUAGCCUCCCUUAAUCACAUCAGAUCAGAUCGACUAGAAGGUGAUCGCUCCGAAGGUUCGAGCCAGGAAAAUGAGGACGAGCAGUAGACUGUUGGCUUUUUAUUUUAAAGAAAACUAUUCUUCUUGCUGCAUAGCACUUGGAAAGAAACAUGAGAUUUGUACAAGUAUAGUGCAGAACAGUUCCCUUUGAAAACUAGUCUAAUUUCUAGCCCCCCUGUGUUUUUUGUUUUUGUUUGUUUUGUUUUUUUAUGACUUUCUUACUGAUGUUUCUGUAUGAGGAUAAUCUACAUUUGUGUGAAUGCAAAAGGCAAGGACCUCAGUAUAUUUUAAGUGUGAGAAUAAUGGUUGGUGUGUAAGGAUGUUAAGUGCAAUAUUAUUUUGUUAGGUGAGAGUGAGCUUUGAUCAGUGUUUAAAGUGUGGCAUUUAGAAUUUGUAGCACAAGGUUAAGAAAUGUUGAUGUGCUGCUCCAGCAGUUUUGUACGCAUGUAAACAAGAACUCUAAGGACUUUAACAUACUACUUUAAAUUUGUUCUUGAAGAAGAAAAGAAAUGAUGCUGUGGUUCUUCUCAUGUCAGUAAAUUAUAAUCUUUUACUGAAUUUGGAAAAAAUAAAGCUAAAUGGCAUCUUAAA
Long non-coding RNA from Monopterus albus (swamp eel), 1335 nucleotides. RefSeq lists it as uncharacterized. The transcript is spliced from 2 exons. Lineage: Eukaryota; Metazoa; Chordata; Actinopteri; Synbranchiformes; Synbranchidae. The record is from RefSeq and is a predicted model, not a curated record.